Arabidopsis thaliana (thale cress) is the source of this 286-nucleotide long non-coding RNA. RefSeq annotates it as other RNA. NCBI's taxonomy places the organism in Eukaryota, Viridiplantae, Streptophyta, Magnoliopsida, Brassicales, Brassicaceae. The record is from RefSeq. The transcript has a single exon.
AAUAACUGUUGCUCCGCCGCUUCCACCGACCUCAUGAUAAAUGUGGAAAUUCAUAAAUGUAAAUCAAAAUGCCAAAGUUUUCUACUUUUCUUGCUGUCUUUCUAAUUUUGAUUGUUGUUUAAAUUUUCUUUGUUGUAAGUAUGAACAUUCCCUUUUUAGAAACCUGAUACUGAUUGAUACCAUUCAAUGUUUCCCUCCUUUUUCAUGUUGAAUAAAUUUAGAAAAAGUUUAUGAAGUUGAAAAUUUGGAUAUUAUGUUCCUUUGACUCUCUUCCUUCUUUGAAAAC